RNAcentral lists this transfer RNA (71 nucleotides) under Myoviridae sp. ctuev19. RNAcentral describes it as "tRNA-Ala". It matches the Rfam family "tRNA". From Rfam's summary of the family: Transfer RNA (tRNA) molecules are approximately 80 nucleotides in length. Their secondary structure includes four short double-helical elements and three loops (D, anti-codon, and T loops). The record is from RNAcentral. Lineage: Duplodnaviria; Heunggongvirae; Uroviricota; Caudoviricetes.
GCUUUCUUAGCUCAAUGGUAGAGCCUUGGCCGCGGCAAGAGAUAAGGGUUCAAUUCCCUUAGAGAGCACCA